This 312-nucleotide long non-coding RNA is filed under the name Cricetulus griseus (Chinese hamster). Its description in RNAcentral is "lncRNA (ENSCGRG00000024808.1)". Lineage: Eukaryota; Metazoa; Chordata; Mammalia; Rodentia; Cricetidae. The record is from RNAcentral.
CUUGGUGCCACUGUGAGAUGUUAUCCCAUAUAUUUCUUCUGGCUAUUUCAGAACUCACUCCAAAUAUCCAGAGCUUGUGUUUCAUGGAUUUGGAUGCACACAUCCAAGGGACAUGAAUGGAGGUCUGACAGGGAAUAUCAUUCUCUAUUCUGAAGUUUGGGUCGAGAUCACUGAUGAAAUUACAUGCCUGAUUCUACAGCAAGCAAUUUUCCAAUAAAAGUUCAGAUGUGAAAUAAUCUAUAUCACUGGCCUUGAUUCUUUUGGAUAUCUACAUGUGUUUCCAGCCUAUAUCUAUAACAGGUGCCAUAUGAC